GACGAACGCUGGCGGCGUGCUUAACACAUGCAAGUCGAACGCUGAACCCGCGUCGGUGGGGGUUGGGUGGCGAACGGGUGAGUAGCACGUGGGCAACCUGCCCCCGCCUCUGGGAUAACUCCAAGAAAUUGGGGCUAAUACCGGAUGUGACCGCUAGCCGCAUGGUCUGGUGGUGGUAAGGGUGUCCGGCUGUGGAUGGGCCCGCGGCUUAUCGGCUUGUUGGUGGGGUAGUGGCAAACCAAGGGGCCGACCGGUAGCCGGCAUGGGAGGGGGACCGGCCACACGGGGCCUAAGAGAGGCACCAGUAGCGAACGGGAGGCAGUAGUGGAGAGUAUUGCGGAAUGGGCGGACGCGUGACGCAGCGACGCCGGGUGCGGGAUGACGGCCUUCGGGUGGUAAACCUCUUUCAGCGGGGCCGAAGCGGACGUGACGGUACCUGAAGAAGAAGCACCGGCCAACUACGUG
RNAcentral lists this ribosomal RNA (465 nucleotides) under uncultured bacterium. Its description in RNAcentral is "partial 16S ribosomal RNA". It matches the Rfam family "Bacterial small subunit ribosomal RNA", at positions 28 to 507 of the family's 1533-position model. The record is from RNAcentral.